Molecule: long non-coding RNA, 19652 nt
Filed under: Nicotiana tabacum (common tobacco)
Lineage: Eukaryota; Viridiplantae; Streptophyta; Magnoliopsida; Solanales; Solanaceae
Description: long non-coding RNA (NTAB_LNC016634)
Source: RNAcentral
UAACACUUAACUAAGUCAAAAGAGCUAGAGUCUCAAGCUCAAGUUCAGUAUGCCUUUCAGUAAUGUGUAUGAUGUGAAACAGGCAAUUUUGAUACCUUUUAGAUUAGACAAACCAAAAUUAGUCACAGUUUUGUCCAAUGUUCCAAGAAAUUAAGCAUUUUUUUGGCUUGUGAACUUGCCUUGUGUAAAUUAAUUGCUCUGUUGUCUUUGUAAGUGCACAGAUCGUUGUUAUAAGUAACUGAUACCUGAUUUAUUAACACAUUUACUAGCAUAAUUUUCAGAGCAUGAAAGAUGGUAUAAAUAAUAAUCAUCUUACUGAUAUGUCAUCUACUAAAACUCUUAUAUCAAAGAUAUUAACUUAAAAUGAACCCUCAAUAAACUUGGGAGUGCUGAACCAUUAUGCUUCAUCUUUUUUUCUCCUCUUCAUUUCCAGCGAAGGGUAGAAGGGGAGCCUUGACGUAACUGUUAAAGUUGCUGCCAUAUGAUCAGUAGGACACGGGUUCGAGCCGUGAAAAAAGCCUCUUGCAGAAAUGCAGGGUAAAGCUACAUACAAUAGACUCUUGUGGUCCGUCCUUUUCCCUGACCCCGCGCAUAGCAGGAGCUUAAUGCACCGGGCUGCCCUUUUUCAGCAAGGGCCAGCACGGUGCACAAGGCAUCCCACGUUCAUGCAGGGUCUGGGCAAAGGCCGCGCCCAAGGGUUAAGAUGUAGACAACCUACUCUAAAGUAAGCAUUAUGGUUGCUUCCACGGUUCGAACCCGUGACCUAUAAGUCAUACGAAGACAACUUUAUUUCAUUUUCAGCAUGCUUCUUAAUUCUUAAGCAUAUUUCCUAAUGUGAUGAGUUGUUUACUAUCAAUACUCUGUCAAAUCAAUUCAAAGCAGAGUGCCAAUUUUAACGAGUCCUAUAUUAGCUAAGGUUCAGCUAAAACCUUGCUUAAAAACAGAAGAAGUUAUUAAUUGCAUUUACAUAAGAAGGAAGAUGCAUGCGCUGAAGAAAACAAAAAUAAAGCAUUAAAUAUAAAUAAAGAAAAUUACGAAUCUAUGUGCAGAACUUCUGCCAAAGUCCAGUGUGCUUUACUUCAAUCUGCCUAUGAGGUCAUUAUUCAGUUUCUACUCUUCCCAUUCAAUUCAAACUGUUUUUAUCGAAUCCGGUAAUCCAAUAAAUACAAAACACACGUCUUCACAUACACACUUAUUACUCAAUCAUAGUUAAUUAAUAGAUAUUCUUACCUUAAUUUAUUACUUAACUAGUGUAUUAGCCGCGCUACGCGCGGUUAUGAAAAAAAUUUAAAUUAUGAUAGAAUAUUAAUGUCAUAAUUUUUAUAGAAGAAAAUCAAUCUAUGCUAAAAAAACAAAAAUUUCAUGAUUGUAUCAUUUUUGUGAUUUUUGUAACAUCUAAUGCAAAAUUUAUAAAAUAAAAGACUCUGUAAUAAACAUAUAGACUAAAUAUUAAACAAUCUAUUUAGAUUAAUAAAUGUGAAUAUUGAGUAAUAAAAGAGAGAAUAAUACAAAAGAAAUAGUAGAAAAAUAGAAAAAGAAGUGGUGUUGGAAUCAUAUUCCAUAUUUUUUUUGCUUGCGUUUUAAUUCUAGCUUACCAUAAAUAUUGUUCAAAGAAGUUAUCUCUCCUAAUUAAAAGAUGAUAGAGGUAUUGUUUUUCCAACUAUUAAAGAUAAAGGAAUUAAGGUAUAUGAAAUUUAUACGCUUAAUUAUUUUAGUUUCUAGCCAUUUAAGGUAAUUACGUCACAUUAAUAUGCAAUUAAAUGUAAAAUAAAUAUAAAAUCUAAUGUAUUUACCUUCAAUUUAAACAAACAUAUGCAAAAUCAAAUAUCAAAGAAAUAUAAAAGAGGAGGAAAAAUACAUGAUCAAUGAUGGAAAAUGACAAACAAAUUAAUUAUAAUAAAUAAGAAAUUAGUCGUAGUAGAAAGAUCAUAAAGUGAGAAUGUGAGAUAGUGAAUUACCAAUGGUAUUUAAUAAUAUUAGAGAAAACAUCAAAUAUCAAUUGCCAUCCACAUUUACAAAAAUAAAAGUAUACAAAUUCAGAUAUAAGAAAAAACAAAACUAUAGCAAAAUAUCUCAACCUAAUGUUUAAUAAACUUAUCUUUCAAACAACCACACAUCAAUAUAUGUUAAAUGGAGUCUCAUAUAUGAAUUUUCUGCGCAAAAAAAAAAUUUCUUUGCAAGAAGAAAAGAUAAUAAGGAAAAAACUGAAAACAAAUAAAAGGCAAUAUUUUUACCUUCCCAACGGUCAACUCUAGACAACCGUGGAAUAUGUGUAAUCGGUUUUUCCUUAUCUCGUGUUUAGGUUGCUAAGACGAAUGUGUAUAUUCUUCUAUGUUAAGUCUACUAUCUCUUCACUCACCGAAUGCAACACCAAUCCAAUAAUAGCAUGAAUAGUUGUAAUUAAAUUGGAAAAUGAAUGAGAAAAGGAAGUGUAUAUGUCAAAAUAUGCCCUAGAAUAUUUAGGGUAAUAUAGCAUUACGGAAAGAGUCAGCCGAGGUCGACCAGGAGAUGGCAAACCCCGUGGGCGAGAAGCAAAAGAUGGUCGAUAUUGUGCAUUGCAGAAAGAGCUGUAACGGCUAGUUUAUUAGGGCAUGAUAUUAAAGAGAAUAUUCCGUUGAAUAUUCUUGGUACUUGUACUAUUAGGGUUUACUAGGGAUAUAUCCCAAAUAAAUAGGAAAAAAGAUAAGGAAUAGAGGCAUGCGAUAUGCGCCGGAUAAGAACACUUUUCAGAAGAAGAAUCUCUCGCUCUCUCUCUCUAGCAAAGAUACAAAUAUUACCUUUUCAUCAAGAUUUUUGCUCAUAUUAUUCCAUACUUUUCCAUUAGAUCCAUCCGAGAAUAGUUCGAACAUUCUAGGAUUUAUCUAUCACACAUCAUUGUCAGGAGAAACAAUCAUCUAACUCAUUCAUUAUUGGGUGAAUCAUUCCUUCUAUUUACUUAAAUGCCAUUUAUUGCUAGUUACUUUUCCAUUAUUGCUCACACUUUUGGAAUAUUUAAUGCACGAUAUUAUUAAUCCCUUACUGGAUCAGCCCCACAUUAUCCGUAUUUUCAAGAUCCACAUUUAGAAAUAUUAUUAUUAACUAGGUUUAACCCAACAUUAUAUAAAUAUAAAGGUUUAACCGAAAGUUAUACUUUUUGGUCAAAUAAUUUGGCACCGUCUGUGGGGAUUUCCUAGUUAAAUUUUUAGUUUCCUCUAGAUCUACACGGAUUGCUAAUGUAAACAAAAACACCAAGAACAAGAUUCCCUUUUUGCUCACACUUUUGGAAUAUUUAAUGCACGAUAUUAUUAAUCCCCCACUGGAUCAACCCCACAUUAUCCGUAUUUUCAAGAUCCACGUUUAGGAAUAUUAUUAUUAACUAGGUUUAACCCAACAUUACAUAAAUAUAAAGAUUUAACCGAAAGUUAUAUUUUUUGGUCAAAUAAUUUAGCGCCGUCUGUGGGGAUUUCCUAGUUAAAUUUUUAGUUUCCUCUAGAUCUACAACCAACACAGAUUGCUAAUGUAAACAAAAACACCAAGAACAAGAUUCCCUUUCUUUGAAUACACGGAUCUAACUUGGCAGGUAACAAAGAAGAAAAAGUGAGAAUAAUGAGCGACCUCCCAACCAACCUCAUGAGCAUCAUCAAUGAGAGCUCUGAAGUAGUGGACGAGGACGCAACGCCUAAUGCCUCCCCUAGGCGAGGCGGGUCACCCCUCACUGUAGCAUCAUGAAACUCUUGGUAAGGGAGCCUCCAUAUCCGUGAUGGAAGAGACGCCACCGGCAGUAAAAAAGGUCCUUGAGGCUUGGCUAAUUGACACGCUAACCAGCGUCCUCCAUAAGCCCGUUCAGGAUGCGGCUACAGAAAGCGCAAGGACUUGCGUUAUACCACCAACAGACGAGCAACAUGAUUAACUUCCUCCCCCCUACAACGACAGGCAUUACUCACAAUGUUGUUAACAAUGCAGGUGACGAUACUCUCGCGGCCAUUUUGAAAAGGAUGGAGGAAAUAGAAAAUGAGAACAAGGUACUUCGGGACCAAAUGAGAGAACACCAAGAAAGGGUCGAUAAAAUACCGGGCACCCCUAAGCGCUUGCCGAAGAGAGACGUCGGUCGGUUCGUAGAGCAGCCGUACAACGAUGCCGCCGCCCCACAUGCCAUACCAAAGACCUUUAAAAUGCCUCCCUACCUUAAAAUAUACGACAGUACGAUCGACCCCGAAGACCAUGUGACCCACUACGUCACUGCCGUGAAAGGCAAUGACCUCGCCAAGGAACAAGUAUCCUCCAUUUUGUUGAAACAAUUCGGCGAGACCCUCACUGGAGGAGCAUUAACAUGGUAUUCACAGCUGCCCGCGCGUUCUAUUGAAACAUUCGAAGAAAUGAUCGACAAGUUCGUAACGGCCCAUGCUGGGGCCAAGAAGGCAGAGGCGAGAGUAAAUGACAUAUUCGCUAUCAAACAGUCGCCGAGAGAGGGAUUGAGGGACUUCCUUGCCCGAUUCAACCGAGUAAGAAUGGCCUUACCGAAUGUAUCAGAAGGGAUGAUUGUCGCAGCUUUCCAGAACAGGCUGAGCAGAAAUGGUUCAAGCGCAACAAGGAAGUUAUUAAGUCGGCUUAUGAAGUACCCCCUAACAACUUGGGAUGAAAUACAUAACCCAUAUUGCGCCGAAGUCCGAGCAGAUGAGGACGACCUCAAUGGGCCGACCCAUCGACUGACCUCGAUGCAAGCAGAAUCUAGGAAAGAUCGAAGAAAUGAUGUCAGAAGAAAUAUCGCGGCCUCGCGACCCAACCGGGAACGACAUCUCCCAUAUGUCAGAACCACUGUCGCGUCCUCAUCCCGCCAUGAAGAGGGCCCACCCCGAUCAAGAACAGGGAUCCACCGGAACGAGAGAUGUAUGCCCCAUUUAUUAUGCGCUCAUAUAUUUUGUGCGUCGCCUACAGAAAUAGUCUACGCCUUGGAGAAGCUCGAACCGAAGGUGAAGUGGCCACAAAAGAUGAGGUCAGACCCGAAUACCAGAAAAUCAGACGCCCUCUGCGAGUUCCAUCAAGAGCAAGGACACAAAACCGAAGAUUGGAUCUCCCUAAGACAAGAGGUCGUAAACAUGCUACGAUAGGGACACCUCAAAGAAUUGUUGAGCGAUCGGGGAAGGACCAACUUUGCCAGAAGAUGUGAACAACAUCAAGAGCCUCUAAAACCACCCUCGUCGGCCCGCUCCAUCCACAUGAUCAUUGGUGGAGGGGACGACUCUUCCAUCAACAGUGUGAAGUUCACCACAACCCAUAAGCUCAAACGGUCGAUCACUCACGAACGGUAUGAUGAACUCGAAGUAAGUAUCAUCUUCGAUAAGUCAGAUACCAACGGUUUGGCAUUCCCUCACUAUGAUGCUCUUGUUAUCACUUUACAAAUUUUAGAUACCAAUGUGAGUAGGAUUAUGGUAUACGAUGGGAGUGGCGCAUGCAUUAUCCAUCAUUGAGUACUUACACAAAUGAAACUCGAGGAUAAGAUAGUGUUGCGCUGCAUCACACUAACAUGUUUUAACAAUGCAGUUGAGCGAACAUCCGGCGAGAUCACACUCCACGUCCUAGACGAUGGCGUCACUUUGGAAACUGCAUUCCAUAUCAUGAACCCGGACACAACAUACAAUGCUAUAAUAGAGCGAUUAUGGAUACACACCAUGCGAUCUAUCCCCUCCAGCUUGUACCAAGUAAUCAAAUUCCUAACUCCACGGGGAAUAUUCAGUAUACGAGGGGAACACCGCACAUCCUAGGAAUGCUACCGCAUCGCCUUAGACUGUAUGUCCACCCAACAAACAAAGUAUAAAGAAAAAGAGGCAUAGAAAUCAACAUGGUCGAGGUCGAUGUGUGAUGACAACAAGGAUGUCAUCAGAGACCCCGAUAUGGACGAGGCUACAAGAUCGACCAUAGAGGACCUCGACUCCAUUCAAUUAGACAAUAAUGACCCUAGCAAGAAAGAUUACAUCGGCUGCAAACUUCAGGAACUGGGUAAGUUUUGUGAAUUUUUAACUACUAACGCGGACUUGUUCGCCUUUAGCCAUGCAAAUAUGCUAGGUAUCCCAAAGGAGAUCGCCACACACAAAUUGAACGUCGAUCCAUUACACCCCCCAAGUGAGGUAGGUUAGGCGUAUGUUUAACUCCACAAUUAAUGACGUAGUACGUGAAGAAGUGGAAAAUAUGUUGGAAAAUGGCUCCGUCGGGGAGUCAAAGUACCCACAAUGGGUCGCCAACGUAGUCAUGGUGAAAAAGAAGAACGACAAAUGGCGGAUGUGCGUAGAUUUUUGUGACCUGAACAAAGCUUACCCCAAGGAUUUAUUUUCAUUACCCCAUAUCGACCAACUCAUCGACGCAACGGCCAGGCACAAAUUACUAAGCUUCUUGGAUGCCUACUCGGGCUAUAAUUAGAUCCUCAUGGAGGAAUAGGAUCAGGAAAAACCACCUGUAUCACCCACCAGGCGUACUGCUACAGGGUCAUGCCCUUUAGGCUGAAAAAUGCGGGGGAAACUUAUCAAAGGUUGGUGAUGAAGAUGUUCAUAGACCAACUCGGUAAAACAAUGAAAGUCUAUAUAGAUGACAAGCUGGUCAAAUCCAAAAGGAAAGAAGAUUACAUCGACCAUUUGAGAGAAACCUUCGGCAUACUCAAGCAAUACGAAAUGAAACUGAACCCCGAAAAAUGUACAUUCGGCAUGGCCUCAGGAAAAUUCUUGGGUUUCCUAGUAUCACAACGAGGUAUAGAGGUCAAUCCCUACCAAAUCAAGGCCAUCGAAGGGAUACCCGAGCACUCGACCACUAAAAAAUAGGUUCAGAGGUUGACUGGUCGUAUCGUCGCCCUUUCAAGAUUCAUUUCGCGAUCCUCCGAUAGGUGCCAUAAGUUCUUUGGCGUACUAAAAAAGGAUAACAACCUCCAAUGGACCCUGAGUGCGUCCGAGCCCUGAAGGAGUUAAAGGUAUACUUGUCAUCGCCACUAUUGCUUUCAAAACCAGAACUGGGACAGCCCCUCCUCGUCUAUCUCUUCGUGUCCGAAGUAGCUGUGAGCGCGGUCCUAGUCCGAGAAAAUAAAGGUACGCAAUCUCCCAUAUAUUACAUUAGCAAAACACUAGUCGACACCGAAACGAGAUACCCCCAUCUCAAAAAAUUGCUCUGGCGUUAGUCGUAGCUUCAUGAAAGUUUAGACCACAUUUCCAAUGCCACCCCAUCUCGGCCGUCAUGACUUUUCCUUUAAAAAGCAUUUUACAUAAACCCGAGCUAUCGUGAAGGUUGUCCAAAUGGGCCAUCGAAUUGAGCGAGCACGAUAUCACAUAUCGGCCGCGAACGGCGAUAAAGUCACAUGUCCUCGCAGACUUCAGUGCAAAAAUAAUGCCGAAAGUCGAAAAAGAAGUCGUCCACGCUUCUCCCCAAAUAUAAGACCUCUGGGUCCUGUACACUGAUGGAGCGUCUAAUGCAUCAGGGUCUGGGCUGGGACUCGUACUCGAAGUUCCAACAUGCGAAGUGAUUCGCCAAUCCAUACGAUGCCCGGACAUGACUAACAAUGAGGCCGAGUAUAAGGCCGUAAUUGUAGGAUUAAGACUAGCACUCAAAUAUGGGGUGAAGCGGCUAAGAAUGCGCUGCGAUUCUUAACUCGUGGUCAACCAAGUCAUAGGGACUUUCCAAAUCAAGGAACAAAGAUUACAAAAGUACCAGACCGAAAUCUGCAAGUUGUUACCCGAGUUCGACGAGUGUCAACUCGACCAGAUCCCCCGAACACAGAAUACCGAUGAGGACGGUCUCGCCAAAUUAGCCGCAGCCACCAAAAACAUUACAACCAAGAAAGAAAUGUGGUCCACCUCCUCAACCCAUCGAUAAAUCAAAUUGAGGUAAUAACUAUAAACCUGACUUGGGACUGGCGCAACCGUAUUGUUACAUAUUUGCAAGAUGGCAUACUCCCAGAUGAUAAAAAGAAGCCAAGAAACUGCGAAUGCAAGCAGACAGAUACAACAUCAUUCAUAACGACCUGUACAAGAGAAAGUAUGGUGGCCCAUUGGCGAAAUGCUUAGGCUUAAAUCAGACGCAGCGCGUCCUUGAAGAAGUACAUAAAGGUCACUGUGGAUCUCACUCUGACAAUCGAGCUUUGGUCAGAUGCCUCAUACGGGCAGGGUAUUACUGUCCCACCAUGAAAAAAGAGGCCGCGGAUUUCGUGAAAGAAUGCGAGCAAUGCCAGAAGUAUGCCCAAUGAUUCACCAAGCAGGCGAACACCUACACUUAGUGACUUCCCCUUGGUCGUUCAUCAAAUGGGAAUGGAUAUCGUAGGCCCCCUCCCGGCAGAACGAGGUAACGUACGAUUUCUUUUGGUUUUAACUGACUAUUUCUCUAAAUGGGUAGAAGCAAUAACAUUCGCCCAAACACGCAAACAAUAAGUGAUCGCCUUCAUAUGGAAAAAUAACAUAUGCCGUUUCGGUCUUCCCAAAGAGAUCAACUGCGACAACGGAUCCUAGUUUGCGGGAAAAAAGGUCACUGAGUUUUUUGAAAAAUGAAGCAUCAAAAUAAUACUCUCAAUGCCAUACCACCCCGGGGGCACCGGGCAUGAAGAAUCCUCUAAUAAGUCGAUAUUGAACAUCAUGAAGAAGAAACUCGAAGACGCCAAAGGAUUGUGGUUGAAAAUAUUACCAGAAGUACUCUGGGCCUACCGAACAAUUCCAAAGAUGAGCACAUGAGAAACGCCAUACACAUUAGGCUAUGGGACUGAUGCAGUAAUACCGGUCGAGGAGCCCAACCUAAGAUACUCCCAAAAAAGUGGACCCCGAAAUGAUGACAGCAGAAGGCAGGAGCUCGACGAAGUCGAGGAACGAAGAGAUAUGGCCUACGUAAGAAUGGUCACCCAAAAUCAACAAGCAGAACACUAUUAUAACAAAAAGGCAAAGAUCAGGCCACUCAAAGUCGGGGACUAUGUGCUUAAAGCUUUACACAAGAAAGCAAAGACCCACGGGAAGGCAAACUAGAUACAAAUAUGGAUGGCCCGUACAAAAUAACGGCAACAACGAACAAAUGGUCAUUCCAACUAGAAACAAUGGAAGGAAAGAGACUACCAAACAACUAGAAUAUCACAGACCUCAAGUACUUCAACUUUUAAAAGAUGAAGCGUCCCAAAAGUCGUACUCUUUUUUCUCUCACUUAAGUUUUGUCCCAAUUGGGUUUUCUCGAUGAGGUUUUUAACGAGGCGAUGAAGGGGACACUUCAGGAAUGAAGUGCGCACAGACAAAGGCACUGGAUGGCUAGUUCAUUGCCCCACCUCUCAAUACUUUUCCAGGUCGACCAAUGAAGGGACUAAAUAGACUGGGACUGAAAUGCCAGCCAACGCCCGAAAAAUAUGUAAGUUUCUCAAAGUGUAUGAACAAAGCACAAAUGCAUGAAGUUUAUUUCUAUUUUCUACAAAUGUACAACCAAAGCAACAUUUCCUUAAAAUUAUACCACCAAAAAAUGCCACACCUAAUCGGUCGUCGGCCAUAAUCAAGCAUAGGUUAUAUUCGACCUUGUUCGAAUCAAUACAUAAUCGGCCCUCGGCCUUAACUAAGUAUAGGUUACACUCAACCUCGUUCGAAUCAAUACCUAAUCGCCCCUUGGCCAUAAUCGAGCAUAUGUUAUAUUCGACCUCGUUCGAAUCAACACCUAAUCAGACAUCGACCAUAACUAAGCAUAGGAUAUAUUUGACCUCGUUCGAAUCAACACCUAAUCGGCCCUCGUCCCUAACUAAGUAUAGAUUAUAUUCAACCUCAUUCGAAUCAAUACCCAACCUCAUUCGAAUCAAUACCUAAUCAUCCUUCGUCCAUAAUCGAAUAUAGGUUAUAUUCGACCUAGUUCGAAUUAACACCUAAUUGGCCCUAGGCCAUAACUAAGCAUAGGUUAUAUUCGACCCUAUUCGAAUCAACACCUAAUCGGCCCUCGACUCUAACUAAGUAUAGAUUACAUUCGACCUCGUUCGAAUUAACACCUAAUCGGCCAUCAGCCAUAAAUAAACAUACGAUAUGUUCGACCUCGUUCGAACUAACAUCUACUGGCCCUCCACCAUGAUCUAACCUAAGUUUUAUUUCUACCUCGGUCGACCCUACUCGAGCUAAGUUAUUACGACUAAGGAAACCAAGGCAACGAAGCAACAAAAUAAAAAGACAUACAAACUCGAACAGAAGAAAAAGAAUCAGGUGCAAAUAACAAAACUGGUAUUUCAUACUUAGAAUAUUUUUUACAAAGGCUCAAAAAAGACGCCCACAAAAGAAUGCACAAGUCUGCGACAAAACAAAAAGAAGGAAAAAAAAGCUACUAAUCUCCGCUUGGCCCAGCAGCGCCAUCGGCCAGAUCGCCUAGGCCAUCCCCAUCUACGCCUUCACCAUUGCUAUCGACAUCAGGAUACUUACCUUCAUACCAAGCGUCCUCUUCGAUCUGAUCCAUGCCCGCAUCCUCCUCGUCAUAACCGGCCUUUAGUGUAGCAGGAUUGUAGCCGCAAAUGACCCAAGAUCUACGUGCCUUAACACGAGCAUCCUCGAAGAUGGCUUCUAAAACGGUUCUCGCCAUCAUCAGAUCUCUAAAUAUAUCCAGCUGGGCCUCGGCGUGAAUCCACUCGUACAAAUCUUGAGGAACAUCAGGGAAACUAGAAGUGAGGGAAGAGGAUGGUUGAGGCAGUAAUUUUGCCUUCUCGGCCUCGAGAGAGGUGACUCGAUCACAAAGACCAGAAGCCUCUUUCUCUAAUUCUCCAAUCCAUUCAUCAAGCCGCUCUUCUUUGAGCCUGGCCGUCUCCAAGGCACUCUUUCACUCAGAACGAAAAACACGGAUUAUGAUAUCAAAAGCCUUUGCCUUCCUCAUAGCCCCGACCGAGCUAACUCUACCUUCUCGAGAUCCGUUGCCUUCUCGGCGAGCUCUCCACUUAAAGCAUCCGCUUUGAACUCACACUCCUUGAGCUCGGUGUGCAACAAGACCACCUGGGCUUGGAGAUCGCCGCACUGGGCUUCAAGCCCCCUACUAACCUCAAGCUCCUCUUCUUUAUCUCUCAGCGCCCCCUCAAGAACGAUGCAUGUUUCGAUGACCCUCACCAGCUCGCCAUCCUUUUCCUCCAGUUCGUCUCGGAGAGCUUCGAAAGUUUUGCUCUCACCAAACCGCUUACAAAUCUCACGGUGCUUUCCAUGGUACUCGCGGUAUUUUCGCUCCAUCUUCAGAAAAAUAGCCUUACGCCUCUCCUCUCUUUGGGCACUUUCAAUCUCUAAAACCACAGUCUGAAAGAGAGACAAAGAAAAUGGAGAUUAUGAAUGAAACAAACUUUGAACUUGACAAACAAAAACGAAAGAGGUCGAAAAGCUUACCUUGAGAGUGAGGCCGGCUAUGCUCCUAGAUAAGGUAGAGUCUUCCAUCUUUUCAAGGGCUUUACCCUCCACAUCGAAACAGAGGGGACCAAGGGAAGGGACCACGUUCUCCGUGUUAACCAAAAAAUCUCGAUCCAUGGGGAUCGCAAUGGUCCGCGUGGACCCCUCCAAUCUUACUUCGAGACGGAUAAAUCCCUCCCCCAUCAUCCUCACCUCAUCGGCAUCAACAUCGAAGCCCGUCUCAUAACCAUCCUUGGCUAUGCAUUUUCCUUUUAUGUCGGCCAGCGAAGAAGGACCUUCGACCGGUCGCGAGGCCGAUGGCUCAUCUUGCCGCAAAUUAUCAGAGACUCUCGCCGAUGGACCUUCAGCCUCCAUCAUGGUUUCAGGAAGAGACAUACCCUCGACGACUUCAGUCGAUGGCGGAACCACGGGCAAUAACUCGGCGUCAUCUUCAAGCUCUAUGGUUUCCGUUUCACGGAUGACAAAAUUGCCCCUCACUAAAUCCACCGCCUAGGAAACCCCAUCACCGACGUCCACCAAUAUUCUCUUACGGGGAACUAAAUCCCCAUCACUCGGUGAUGAUUCCUCUUCCUCGUUCCCUAGAUAAAGCAAAGGGCAAGCCGGAGGCUCCGCUGUCGAUAUAUCCGCGGCCGGAGAAGAAGUCGGUACGGAAGCAAUAGUAGGUGUUGUCGACGAACGAGUAGACCUGGCCGCGGCGGAAGGACGAAUAGAAGUAGAUAACCAAGCAGUCCUAGCCGCGGUCACAGCAGGAAUAGACUCUAAAGAAGAAGAAGCCUUCCUCUUACGAAAUGCAAGAGGAGGAGCCCGCGGCCUCCUCGAAGAUCCUCGAAUUGAAAAAAAAAGAUCGAAGGUUGUCACUACCGAUAAUAAACUAUGGCGAGCAAGCGACCAUAAGGUCAAAACAGUAAAAAUAAAAAAUAGAUGAACACAUGGUACAAGGAAGAAGCAUGCCCGGACUUCUUGAGAAAGCCCGGCCACUCACGAAUCCGCAUAGUGUGAGGCAGAAUCUGGCCAACCCAGUCAUAAAUUUUUCGACCAAAGGAGGAGGCGCAACCUUGGCUGUACGAGGAAGAGACAAAAGGUUAGAGCCUACGACUAGAAAUAGACAAAUCAAACACCUUUCACAAAAAAACAGAUACUUACGAGAGUGAUUCCAAGUCUCAGGAAAGCCGUCCGCAUUGGCUACCAUGUCUUCGAUUCUGACAAAAAUGUAAUUGAGCCAGAAUUGACGAUUUGCUUUGUCGUCCAUCUUUACCACCAUGCAUUUACCUCCUCGAUGGUGAAGAUGUAACAUCGCCCCCUAUAAGAGCUAAGGGCGAAGAGAUGCAUCAGUUGGCAGAGUGUGACCUCGACCCCGGCAAGCUCGGCGAAUUUUGAGAGCAUCCUGAUAAGCUUGUAAAUAUACGAAGAGAGUUGGGCCAGGCAAACACCGUAAUAGCGGCAAAAUUCCUUUGCCAAUGGGAGAAGGGGGAGAGUAUAGCCGACCUGGAAAGGAUACGCAUAGAACGCGCAAUAUCUGGGGCGGUGGAUUUGCACCACAUCGCACCCUGCUAGGACCAAAUCGAUGUGGGCAGAAAUGUUGAAUUUUUCCCUAAGCUUGGCUAGAUCGGCCUCUUCCAUAACUGAUUCCGAUACUUCGAGCUCACCUUCAGGCACCUUCGAAAAAUUAGACCUAACUUUCUCACUACGAGUGAUUAUUUCCUCCACCGUAGGAAAUUCUCUUCCUCAAUGGCGAUAGAGACCCUAUCAGCGUGAGGGGGUAUAAGCACCACCAAAGGGACAAGGUCAAUUGCCAUACCGAAAAUAGAGGGUACAUUAGCCAUGUUGAUUAAGGGAGAAUAUUUAAGCAAGGAAGUGUUAGAAGCGGCAAGAAUUACUAAAACCAGUAAGAACAUAUGCGACAAUGGAGGAAGAAGAAUGAGGCAAAGGAUUUUGAUAAGAAGAGACACAACAAUGGGGGAAGAAGAAGGAGAUAAGGAGUUUUUUUAUGCAAGGGUUUCGUAAAGAUUGAAACGUUACCAACACACCCCUAUUUAUAAAAAUUCAUGUGUCGAAGCCAAGGAAUUAAUCCAUCAUUACCUGGCACUGUAACCGAAGCGACAGAUUCAAUCAGAAGACGCGCGCGAAAUGAAGCAACGUAUCGGAAAAUCACGUCAUAAUGAAGCAUGUCGCCAUGACGUCAUCCUGAUUCGUGGGACAUAUAAUCCCAGAAGUUACGGUUCACAAAGGGACACACUGCCAACUCGCCCCAAUCAUCACGACUCGUUCAGGUCGUCCAAAUACUUCGACCAUGUUACACAAUAUUCGCUCAUCGAGCCCGCCUGAGGCCGGCCUCAAUAAGCGGAGGAACUAACUGUAUAGGUCAAAAUCUGCCUUAGAAUAUUUAUGGUAAUAUAGCAUUAAGGAAAGAGUCAGCCGAGGUCGACCAGAAAAUGGCAAAGCCCUUGGGCGAGAAGCAAAAAAUGAUCGAUAUUGUGCAUUGCAUAAAGAGCUAUAACGACUAGUUUAUUAGGGCAGGAUAUUAAAGAGAAUAUUUCGUUGGAUAUUCUUGGUACUUGUACUAUUAGGGUUUAUUGGGGGUAUGUCCCAAAUAAAUAGAAAAAAAGAUAAGGAAUAGAGGUAUGUGAUAUGCACUAGAUAAGAACACUUUUCAGAAGAAGAAGAAUCUCUCUCUCUCUCUCUCUCUCUCUCUCUCUCUCUCUCUCUCUCUCUCUAGCAAGGAUGCAAACAUUACUUUUUCAUCAAGAUUCUUGCUCAUAUUAUUCCAUACUUUUCCAUCAGAUCCGAGAAUAGUUCGAACAUUCUAGGAUUUAUCUGUCAUGCAUCAUUGUCAGGAGGAACAAUCAUCUAACUCAUUCAUUUUUGGGUGAAUCAUUCCUUCUAUUUAUUUAAAUGCCAUUUAUUGUUAUUUAUUGCUAGUUACUCCUCCAUUAUUGCUCACACUUUUGGAAUAUUUAAUGCACAAUAUUAUUAAUCCCCCACUAGACCAGACCCACAUUAUCCGUAUUUUCAAGAAUCACGUUUAGGAAUAUUAUUAUUAACUAGGUUUAACCCAACAUUACACAAAUAUAAAGGUUUAACCGAAAGUUAUACUUUUUGGUCAAAUAGGAAGCAUAAAAAAUAAUGUAAACGAACGAUGUCUUCAAAUUUGUGUAAGUAUUUCUGUCAAACGAUCUAGAAAACCGAAAAGAUAUAAAUAAAAGAAAUAAAAAAUAACUUCUGCAAAGAGUGAAAAAAUAAAAUAAAGAUAAAAUGAGAAGAAUGAAGGGGAAAUUACAACCCAAAAAAAAGAAGUUAAAAGAAAAAAACCUUCAAAAAUGUAAUAGAACGUCUCUUCAAAUUUGUGUAAGCAUUUCUCUUAGAAAACGGUUACGGUAGAAAAUGGUGUAAUUAAUCGAAUUUAAAAGGUGUCUUUCUGAAUUUUUGUAGCAUUCACAUAAAUGAAAAUAAAAUGUGAAUGAAGAGAAAGGACUUUGGUGACUCUCUAGCAGUGAGAAGAACAAAUAGUUUCUCUGCAAAUUUUGAAUUAAGACAGAAUAAAAUAGUUACGUGGAAUGUUAAAUAGUUGUAACAACCAACCUCAUGUUACAUUGAAUUUUCAGUGAAUUGGAAAGUUGUAAUACGUAAAUAUAGGAAAAGUUGUAACUAUUGGACUUUUUAUUAAAUAAUGGAGUAGCUAAAUGGAAGAAUAAAGGAAAUUGCAAAAUUUUGAAAAAAAAAGAUAAAUUACCUUCCUGGUCAUAGAAUGUGCCAUGUCACCUCUUCAAGGCCCUCAAUUAUAUAUAUAUAGUAUGAUCUGGUGUGAAAUUAUAGGUAGAUUUUUACCCUUAAACCCUUCCAAUGGUUAGCUUUAUCUAUCUAUUGAAGGUCCUACUUGUAUGAAAAUCCAAAACAAGUACUUAAAGGAGCAUACUCAAGAAUUAAGAAAAAUAAAUGACUUACAUGAGAGAAAUAUUACAAAACACAAACCUAUAUUUAUUCGGAUCAGGAUCCCUCUUUCCUUGGUGUUUGGGGACAAACAUGGACAUAAAGAAUGAGGUCUUUCUUCUAAACUCAUUUAAUGAAAUAAUUAUUUAAAUUAUUUAUAUUGACAGUUUUUUACAUUACAAAUAUCUUAUUCAUUCAAUCUUCUUCACAUCACUGUAUCUUAUAUGAAGAAGGUGUCUUAGCUUAGACAGAUGGACCUACUUCAUAUGAACGGGAUACUGCUCAAUUUAAAAGUAACGUAAUCUUUGGAUGACUAAGAAGAUAUAAACUCCUCCAUUCCACUAACUCACUAAGUAUACCACUGUUGACAGUAUCGAUAAAAACUUACUCGCAUAAUAAUAUUAAUUUAUUAUACUUAAAUGAUUUAACGAGAUAACAAUGUAUAAUAAUUAAUCAUGAUUUAGUGAAAGAAGUGUGUGCGUAGACACAUAUCAUGUAUUUAUCGUUUUGCUGUGAACAUCCGACACGAAUAAGUUUAUAACAAAUUCAUGACAUCCAACAAGUGAACAGACCAACAAAAUCAAGAUCGUAUAUGAUGAGUUUCCGUGCAGUCCUACGAAGACACAAGACUCAAACUGGCUUUCUCUAUCUCUCUUAAUUAACUAUUAUUCCUUUUGUUUUAAUUUAGAUGACACACUUUCCUUAUUAGUCUGUUUUAAAAGAAUGAUACAUUUUUUAAUUUAAAAACAAUUUAACUUUAAAUAUUUCAUUCUAUCCACUUUAUCCUUAAUGAGAAGUUUUUUUAGCCACACAAAUAUUAUGACCCUACUAAGAUUUUGCCUCUUAAGCUUUUAGCAAUACAUAUUUCAAAAGUAUUUUUUUUCUUAAACUUUGUGCCAAAUCAAAUUACGUCAUCUAAAUUUGAAACGGAUGGAGUAAUUAAAUCCACACUAGAGAAUUUGAAAUAGAGUCCAUUACUAGUCUUUAAGGAAUCCUAGGGAUGUGUUAGUAAGCAGCCCUAGUCUUUGCCUAGAUCCUCUCAAAAAGCACAACCCCCUCCCCCUCUCCCCCUCCCAAACCAAAAGAAAUCGAAGAAGAAACUGGAAAGCAUAAAACUGAUUAAAACAUUCCCAAGAAAAGGAGAAUCUCACCAGCAACCGUUAAGCUUGAUUGCUUGAAAGCCUUUUGUUCACAUGCUAAAAUUAGCAGAAACAUGGGAUGUUAGUCUUUUGCACCACAAAACCUGUUAAUUAGUAUUCAAAUUAUAACCAAAAGCAAAUAAUAUAACUGCAUCGUUCUCUUUAAUAUUUCUGUUAGUUAUUAGGGUAAAUAAACAACUUAACUUUGACUAUGGUCGCUUGGACCAGUAGACCCAAACACGAUUUUUUUCUUUGUCAGAAGCAUGAAGAUAUAUACAAAAAGCAAGAAUGCAGAGCCCAUAUGCCAAGUUAGCCAGGACAGGUUCAUCAAAAUCAAGAAAGUUAAGAAAGAUCUAUCUAAAACUAAAAGAGCUAGAGAAGAAGAAUUAAAGACUGUUCUAUUCUUCUUGAAUGUCGUGCACCAAAUCAGAACAAACAACAUGCAGUCAGUCUUCGACGUUGUCAUGUUUUAGUCUUGUGGCAUUCCUUGUUUUAUUUGACUGCUUACCUCAUCUUUAUUUUAAUAAAUUGGAUAUAACUAAGCUUAUAUAUAUACAAUUACAAUGAAUGUUUACACCUUAUUUAUUUCAUAAUUAUAAAUAAUUUGUCUCCUUCUGACUUAUAAGUUAUGAAUUCGAGUUAUGGAAGCAGCUACUAAUACUUGCAUAGAGUAGGCUGUCUACACAUACCCUUGAUGUGCGACCCUUUCUCAGACCUUGCGUCACGAACUUUAUUAUAAAUUUUUACUAAUAAACCUUAUAAAAUUGUACAAUUUAUACAGUCACCGAAUAUAACUAAAAUUAUUUGCGUGAUUCUUGGGGAAGAUUUGGUACAGAAUCCUAGAAUACUUUCUUAAUGGGGGUAAUACAGUAGACCAAAAACCUUGGAGUUUGAAAAUAGAAGGGGUCUGGAUCUUUUGUAUGGAAUUGAGUGGGCAUAUUUUGGUGUCUUUUAAGAAUGCUGUCCCCAUUUUUUUAUGUGGUAUACUGUGUAUAUUACCUUCUUUAUCUCUCUAGAUCUCUACGCUCACUUCUCAUCAUUACAUACCCAUUACAAGAAUUAUAAUUAAGGAAUCAUUACCUACACAAGAAUCUUCUUGUUACUGCAUUGUACGGAUGUUUCAGAAAUCAUUGUUGAAACGGCAAAUGGCUAAAUAUAUAUUUCUACUUUCGAAAAUGAUCUAAGGGUUAUUUAUAUCCCUUCAGUCAUACUUUGGGUUCAAAUAUANNNNNNNNNNNNNNNNNNNNNNNNNNNNNNNNNNNNNNNNNNNNNNNNNNNNNNNNNNNNNNNNNNNNNNNNNNNNNNNNNNNNNNNNNNNNNNNNNNNNNNNNNNNNNNNNNNNNNNNNNNNNNNNNNNNNNNNNNNNNNNNNNNNNNNNNNNNNNNNNNNNNNNNNNNNNNNNNNNNNNNNNNNNNNNNNNNNNNNNNNNNNNNNNNNNNNNNNNNNNNNNNNNNNNNNNNNNNNNNNNNNNNNNNNNNNNNNNNNNNNNNNNNNNNNNNNNNNNNNNNNNNNNNNNNNNNNNNNNNNNNNNNNNNNNNNNNNNNNNNNNNNNNNNNNNNNNNNNNNNNNNNNNNNNNNNNNNNNNNNNNNNNNNNNNNNNNNNNNNNNNNNNNNNNNNNNNNNNNNNNNNNNNNNNNNNNNNNNNNNNNNNNNNNNNNNNNNNNNNNNNNNNNNNNNNNNNNNNNNNNNNNNNNNNNNNNNNNNNNNNNNNNNNNNNNNNNNNNNNNNNNNNNNNNNNNNNNNNNNNNNNNNNNNNNNNNNNNNNNNNNNNNNNNNNNNNNNNNNNNNNNNNNNNNNNNNNNNNNNNNNNNNNNNNNNNNNNNNNNNNNNNNNNNNNNNNNNNNNNNNNNNNNNNNNNNNNNNNNGGAAAAAAUCAUUUUUUUUCCAGUUUUUAGUAAAAAUAAUUUCAGUUUUUUUCAGUUUUUACAAAAAUAAAUUGCUUUAAAAAAUUAUUUUUCGGGUAUGGAUAAUAGAUCUUUUUAAUUAAUUAGGAGAUAUUUAAAAUUGACCAACAGGACGAUGACACGUGUCCCUCCGUUUAAAUGAGGGUAUAUUUGAACCCAAAGUAUGACUAUAGGGGUAUAGAUAACUCAAUAGUAUAACGAGGGGUAUUCUUAGACUAUUUUCGAAAAUAGACAGGUAUAUUUGGCCCUUUGACGUUGUUGAAAUUAUUGCAAUUAUAUAAUCAAGCAUUAGAAGCACAAUUAGAGUUUCUUGGGGACAUGAAUAUCCCAUCUUCUAGGUAGAUUUUACUGUGAAUUCUUAGAAUUGGAGUAAAGAAAUAACUUGGAUUUUUCUAAGUGCUAGGCCCCUAGGGAUGUAUGAAAGACAUGUUCCAACAUGGAAAAGUAAAUUCUCCUAAGACUAAUGAAAGCUAGCUUAAUUUAAACGAGAAAAUGAAAUAAAAUGAACUUAUUAAGAUCUAAUGGAUAUAGUCCGCAUUAUGUAAGAUUCACGGAUGAAAUAAAUAUACAACAAAUAAUAGCAUACUCAGUGUAAUCUUACAAGUGAGAUCUAGGGAGAGUGGGGUGCAUGCAAAUUUUACCCCUGUCUAAAAUAGAGAGGAUGUUUCUGAUAUGAGAUAAUAAAAAGUGUUUAUAAAAAAUAAAAUAAAGAUUCCUCACCACUCCAACUAGCAUUUUUAUUGAACCACCAAGCUUUCAAAAUCAGAUGUCCGGCCGAACAUUUUAUAGCUAACCAAUUCAUAGGAAGAGGACUAGGCCGUGUCUCCCAAUUCCUAGAGAAAAUUGAAAAAGGACAAUCUUUUACAUUUUGAGUGGGUUAUAAGUAGGACUAAGUAUACUCCUAUUUCCGAUUUAGGAGGAUUCCUCUUGUACACAAUUGCAAAGACAUUAAACAAGGGAGACUUUCCCGGUGAGGCACAAGUCAAGCUACGAGUUCGAUCAAACCUAGUACUAACUUUUAUACAGUGUAUUUGGUGUUUAGAAUUCAUUAAAUAUAUACCAAUACGACAUUAAGAACCCAGUCACUAACAUUUGAAGUCGUCGUUCUAAAAUAUAUUCAAAACUCAUAAAGUUGAAAUCCUGACUGCUCUUCUUCCUUUACAAAAUUAUAGAUAUACACCUAAGUAGGUGUACAUCAUAAUUCAUAAUGAAAGAAUAACUUACGACCCAAAGUGAUCUUAACAUAAGUCAUGUUCUUCAAAGAUGCUAUAAUUUAACUUGAGCUUUCAAAAAGAGAGCUUCCUUGAAGAAUCCGAGUUGAGUUGUUUAAAGACACUUGAAAAAAAAAA